UGAACAUCUUCUUUCCCCUGGCUAGGUAGAAGGAAAGACCCUGGCCCAUGAAAUGACAAGGCACUUCUGGCAGGAGAAAAUGAUUCCCAUUAGCUGCAUUCCCACUGCACUUCCCUUUCUCCUGGCCAUGUAAGAGGAAGGACCCGCCCCAGGAAGUGAUUGGGCACUCUCGGAAAACAGCAGUCACAUUGUGAGCCCGGAGCUGGAAAGCAGCCAGGACCUCGCAGGAAAUGCAUGUAGAGCUGCGUGUGGAACAGGCUGUGACUGCUGGACAUGACAGCUGGGUGCAGGAGGUGUUGGUUGGGCUGGAAGUCACCAAGCCACUGAUCGGCCCAUUUCCUGCCUCUCCGUUCAAGUUGGCCGCACUGACAUUUGGAGGAGUAAUGGCUGCUGCUGCUGAAGUGAGAGGAAUGAUGGGCCUGGCACACUGUGCUCCAGGAAUAACCUGGACAGGGGACUGGUGGGCAUGUUGUGGAGAAGCCAUGGAGUGUGACCUAACCACAGUGGCUGGGAGACGGGAUGGAGAGUUCUGGGUUCUCAGUGGUGAGACGGUUGCCGUGGGCCGCUCCGGUACCUGGGCAGAGGGGUGUGCUACUGAAGAAUAACAGGAGGCAUCAGCGUUUCUAGGCUUGAAGGAAACUGACAGUGCCAAAAACAGCAAAAGAAAUGGUCGGAGAAGACUCAGCUGUGAGCAAGGCUUCUACAGUCUAUAGCUGUCUUUGCUCUAAACAUCUGUGGGUUUGGAUUGUGCUGUGUCAAUCAUUCUAUUAAUUAGCAAUGUUCACUGAAGACUAUUUUUGUUCUGGACUGCUCAUAUUUCAUUUUCUGUAUUUCGACAUUAGUGGAUUUGUGAAAAAAUUGAUUUGUUAUUCAUGUAUAUUGCAAGCCAACAAGAGCAUGACUUGAAUAUUGUAUAAUUUUCUUUUAUUGGAAGUACCUUCUUUUUUUUAAGACAUAGGAUUAAGUUUCUUCACUCUGCAGGACGAGAUGCAGAAGAGCUCUGUAGGAUUUGGGCUACUGGACAGCAGCCUAUUUGGCCAUUGUGGAUUGGUGAAAGAGAAAUUGAACUGGAGUAUUCCUUACGUCAAUGUUGGAAAUUCUGCUAAUUUUCCCUUUACUUUGUGAAUUAUAUGGGCCAACAUAUUGUGUCUAAUACAUUGUUUGUUUUUUUGAGAUCUUAAAAUAAACCUCAAAUACCCA
Long non-coding RNA from Chrysemys picta bellii (western painted turtle), 1200 nucleotides. RefSeq lists it as uncharacterized. Lineage: Eukaryota; Metazoa; Chordata; Testudines; Emydidae. The record is from RefSeq and is a predicted model, not a curated record.